UACGGGGUGGGCGAGCGUUGCCCGGAAUUACUGGGUUUAAAGGGGGUGUAGGCGGUCCGGAGAGUCAGGUGUGUAAUCCAACCGCUCAACGGUUGGGCUGCACCUGAUACUUCCGGGCUAGAGGGCGGUAGAGGAGAGCGGAACUCCCGGUGUAGCGGUGAAAUGCGUAGAUAUCGGGAGGAACGCCGGUGGCGAAGGCGGCUCUCUGGGCCGUUCCUGACGCUGAGGCCCGAAAGCUGGGGGAGCGAAAGGGAUUAGAUACCCCUGUAGUCCCAGCUGUAAACGAUGGGCACUAGGUGUUCCCCCGCGAGGGGGAGUGCCGACGGGAAACCAUUAAGUGCCCCACCUGGGGAGUACGCCCGCAAGGGUGAAACUCAAAGGAAUUGACGGGGGCCCGCACAAGCGGUGGAGCGCGUGGUUUAAUUCGACGCUAAGCGAAGAACCUUACCUGGGCUUGACAUGCUGGUGGUACCCUGGUGGAAACACUGGGGGACUCCCCGUUGAGGGGAGAGCCAGCACAGGUGCUGCACGGCUGUCGUCAGCUCGUGCCGUGAGGUGUUGGGUUAAGUCCCGCAACGAGCGCAACCCCUGCCCUUAGUUGCCACAGCAUCCAUGAGGUGGCUGGGCACUCUAAGGGGACUGCCGCCGAUGAGGCGGAGGAAGGUGGGGAUGACGUCAAGUCCGUGUGGCCUUUAUGUCCAGGGCUACACACGCGCUACAAUGGGUGGUACAAUGGGCUUUGCGACCCCGCGAGGGGGAGCGAAUCCCAGAAAACCACCCCCAGUUCGGAUUGGGGUCUGCAACCCGACCCCAUGAAGACGGAAUCGCUAGUAAUCGCCUAUCAGCAUGGGGCGGUGAAUACGUUCCCGGGCCUUGUACACACCGCCCGUCACGCCAUGGGAGCCGGGGGCACCUGAAGUCGCUGGCCCAACCCCCGUAAGGGGGAGGGAGGCGCCUAGGGUGAAACCGGUGACUGGGGCG
This 981-nucleotide ribosomal RNA is filed under the name unidentified Thermotogales OPS66. RNAcentral describes it as "bacterial SSU rRNA". It matches the Rfam family "Bacterial small subunit ribosomal RNA", at positions 524 to 1482 of the family's 1533-position model. The record is from RNAcentral. Lineage: Bacteria; Thermotogati; Thermotogota; Thermotogae; Thermotogales.